Molecule: long non-coding RNA, 971 nt
Organism: Rhododendron vialii
Lineage: Eukaryota; Viridiplantae; Streptophyta; Magnoliopsida; Ericales; Ericaceae
Exons: 2
Source: RefSeq, a predicted model, not a curated record
GAAUUUAAUUCUUUUCAUUUGUUGAUCUCCUACCUUUAAGAUUAUUAUUGGAAAAUGCAUUAAAGGUUUUCUAGAAGUCUCCGAAUAUUUCCAGUCCGGAUCUUCUAGAACCUCAGGACCUCUCCGGAGUGUUCCGGGGCAUGCUAGAACUUUUUGGAAUCGUAGGGAUUAUGAUGAAAUCUUCUUGCUUCUCCGGAAACUUCUAGAAUUCUUUCUAUAACUCUUGUUCAAGAAUUGUCCUUGUCUAGAAGAUUCUUUUGCUCCUGAUAAAUAGGAGACGGAAACUCAUUUUGAAAGUGUAUGUUGAGAGCAAGAUGGAAACUCAUUUUUUUGUUUGUCAAGGUGGCAUGGGUAGCAGUCCAGCCACAUCAUGAGUGGGAAAGCUUUCUGUUGGUUCAGUAUAAUCACGAAGGUUGAAAAAAUUUCAGAGAAUAAUUGACUGGUUUAGCGUUCUACUAAAUUGACUGUUUCUUACAGUAGAACUUGAGGAUUAGGAAUUGGGGCAGUCCAAUGCGCAAUAUUUGCUUAUAUAUGUUGCAUCACCUAGUUAAGGUAUAGUAUUCUACUUUUGCUUAAAUGGAUACAAGUGGAACUUGGAUUCGUAAUCAUGAACAUUGGUGAAACGCAGGUUAUGAACAUAUUGGACAGCUACAGAGGUUCCAAUGUGGCCAAGAGAUCUCUAGGUCUGCGUCAGCUAGUCAAAUCACCGAAACACAUGUUUGCUAUGCAUCCAUUUACGCGGGCAGAAAACAUGGAAGUUUGUACUAACGAAGAAUUAUUGCAAUGACAGAAAGGCCAACAACUGUCUGAUAUGUGUUAUUUUAAGAAAAUUGCACAUAUUGUUUCCAUUUGAUGUAAUGUAGGACUUGUUUUAAGAAAAUUUCGAUGCUCGUCUUCGUUGAAGGGGAAAUGGAUUUAGAUUAUUUCUGUAAAUAAUCCUUGAUCUGAUAUAUGAAAAAUGUGAUUGUGCG